CGUGAGGGAAAGGUGAAAAGUACCCCGGGAGGGGAGUGAAAUAGUACCUGAAACCAUGUGCAUACAAGCCGUUGGAGCCGUAAUAGGUGACAGCGUGCCUUUUGAAGAAUGAGCCUGCGAGUUAGUGGUAUGUGGCGAGGUUAACCCGUGAGGGGAAUCCGUAGCGAAAGCGAGUCCGAAUAGGGCGAAUUAGUCGCAUGCUCUAGACCCGAAGCGAAGUGAUCUAUCCAUGGGCAGGUUGAAGCGCGGGUAAGACCGCGUGGAGGACCGAACCCACCUAGGUUGAAAACUGGGGGGAUGACCUGUGGAUAGGGGUGAAAGGCCAAUCAAACUUCGUGAUAGCUGGUUCUCCCCGAAAUGCAUUUAGGUGCAGCGUUGCAUGUUUCUUACCGGAGGUAGAGCUACUGGAUGGUCGAGGGGGCCUACAAGCUUACCAACAUCAGCCAAACUCCGAAUACCGGUAAGUGAGAGCGCAGCAGUGAGACUGUGGGGGAUAAGCUUCAUGGUCGAGAGGGAAACAACCCAGAAUAGCAACUAAGGUCCCAAAGCCUGUGCUAAGUGGAAAAGGAUGUGAAGUCGCAUAGACAACCAGGAGGUUGGCUUAGAAGCAGCCACCCUUAAAAGAGUGCGUAAUAGCUCACUGGUCAAGUGAUUCCGCGCCGACAAUGUAGCGGGGCUCAAGCACACCGCCGAAGCCGUGUCAUUCAUACAAUAUCCAAGCCUUCGUGGUUCAGGAGUAUGGAUGGGUAGGGGAGCGUCGUGUGGCGAGCGAAGCGGCGGGGUAACCCAGCCGUGGACGCCACACGAGUGAGAAUGCAGGCAUGAGUAGCGAAUGACGGGUGAGAAACCCGUCCGCCGAAUGAACAAGGGUUCCAGGGUCAAGCUAAUCUGCCCUGGGUAAGUCGGGACCUAAGGUGAGGCCGACAGGCGUAAUCGAUGGACAACGGGUUGAUAUUCCCGUACCCGCGACGACGCGUCAAUGCUGAAUCUAGAAAUGCUAAGAGCACCAAAGCGUGGAGACCUUCGGGUUGAGACGUGGAGGUCCUCGAACCAAUCUGGUAGUAGGCAAGCAAUGGGGUGACGCAGGAAGGUAAUCCAACCCGGGCGAUGGUUGACCCGGGGUAAGGCUGUAGGGAGAGUUAUAGGCAAAUCCGUAACUCACAUAUCCUGAGAGCUGACGCCGAGCCGAUUAUGGCGAAGUGGAUGAUCCUAUGCUGCCGAGAAAAGCCUCUAGCGAGUGUCGUUGCGGCCCGUACCCCAAACCGACUCAGGUGUUCAGGUAGAGAAUACUAAGGCGAUCGAGAUAACCAUGGUUAAGGAACUCGGCAAAAUGCCCCCGUAACUUCGGGAGAAGGGGGGCCGCGGUUUGUGUAGAGAUUUACUCUCGAAGCAGAUUGCGGCCGCAGAGACUAGGCUGAAGCGACUGUUUACUAAAAACACAGGUCCAUGCGAAGUCGCAAGACGAUGUAUAUGGACUGACGCCUGCCCGGUGCUGGAAGGUUAAGGGGACCGGUUAGCCGCAAGGCGAAGCUGAGAACUUAAGCCCCAGUAAACGGCGGUGGUAACUAUAACCAUCCUAAGGUAGCGAAAUUCCUUGUCGGGUAAGUUCCGACCUGCACGAAUGGCGUAACGACUUCAGCGCUGUCUCAACCGUGGACUCGGCGAAAUUGCACUACGAGUAAAGAUGCUCGUUACGCGCGGAAAGACGGAAAGACCCCGGGACCUUUACUAUAUCUUGAUAUUGGUACUCGGAAC
This 1755-nucleotide ribosomal RNA is filed under the name marine metagenome. Its description in RNAcentral is "bacterial LSU rRNA". It matches the Rfam family "Bacterial large subunit ribosomal RNA", at positions 502 to 2130 of the family's 2925-position model. The record is from RNAcentral.